Molecule: ribosomal RNA, 347 nt
Filed under: Typhlarmadillidium sp.
Lineage: Eukaryota; Metazoa; Arthropoda; Malacostraca; Isopoda; Armadillidiidae
Description: partial large subunit ribosomal RNA
Rfam family: Bacterial large subunit ribosomal RNA
Source: RNAcentral
UCUGACUGUGCUAAGGUAGCAUAAUAAUUAGCUAUUUAAUUGGUAGCUGGAAUGAACGGCCUGACAAAAACCUGACUUUAUUUUUCUUCUGUAUAAAUUAAUUUAAGAAUAAAAAAGUUUUUUUAAAUUAGAAGGACGAUAAGACCCUAAAACCUUAUAUAUAUUAAUUUUACUGGGGCGGUAACUUAUAAAAACAUAAGUUAACCCUACAUACUGAAUGAUUUCCUCCAACUUCACUUAACUUCAAAAAGGUACUUUAGGGAUAACAGAAUAAUUUAUAUUUAGAGUCCUAAUCGACAUAUAAGAUUAUUACCUCGAUGUUGAAUUGAUACAACUUUUCAAGCAGC